Chinchilla lanigera (long-tailed chinchilla) is the source of this 1722-nucleotide long non-coding RNA. RefSeq lists it as uncharacterized. The record is from RefSeq and is a predicted model, not a curated record. NCBI's taxonomy places the organism in Eukaryota, Metazoa, Chordata, Mammalia, Rodentia, Chinchillidae. The transcript is spliced from 3 exons.
CCCGGGCACCGCUGGGCCAUCUCCCUGUGCCUCCAGUGACCCUCGGGGAUGCAGAGUGACUCCCAAGACACCCCUCCUCUAGACAGAGAUGCUGGCUAGGCCUGAAAAUUCUUUGCUACGAGAGUCAGCAAGCCGACUCUGUGGGCAGGGACAGCAGGCUGGCCCAGGUACGGCCCUGGCCUAGCACUGGCUCAAGUGUGGGAUAGCAGGCCUUGCUGCACACGUGUUUGUCUGAACCCUGCUGGAAUCCUGACUCCCAGGAGCCAUCACCACGGUACUCCGCAUGACUGAAACACACAGUGACUGAGUGGAAAACAUUUCUUACAGUAAAAGACACACUGACACUACGUUCCCACAGAAUACUCCGCCUCACCCUGAAUACAUGUGUCCCGCCAUGCUUGCCACUUUUGUGAAUGAAGCAGCUCUGGAAGUCCUCUUUCAUGAGUGUCUUUGUGAGAUGUGAUCAAAAAUAGGGCGAGCACCACCGCCAAGUGUCAUCCAGUGGAAAGGUAGGCUUGUAAAAAACAUGACUUCCACUUUAUUCACUUGAUCUGGCCCUGUGCAACUUCUGGCUCUUCCCCAAAGUCAAAAUGACCGUGGAAGGUAAAGGUUUUGAAUUGAUGCGGGGCCCUGAGGCAGCCAGAGCAAUGCACCUAACGACCCUCACGAAAGAGGACUGCCGGAGCUGCUUCAGAAAGCGGCAAGAACAGGAGAAGUGUGUUCAAAGUAAGUAUAUUGAGGGAGACUAAUAACCACGGGUCUUUGACUGUAAGAAGAAAAUAUUAAUUUAAAUAUUCACUGUAUUUUUCAGUCACACCCCACAAGCCACCCAAGGGGGAGAAAAACCUUUUAAUUUGAUUCCCUCCUUAAUGGAGGGAAGACCCAGAGGAGAGGGCCCGCCCACAGUUCUAUGGACCACUGUAUCAAAGAGUGACAAACGAUGGUUAGGGGCAGAGGGACAGAAAAAAUGCAGGACAAAACCCAAUGACUGACAUUGUACAUCAUCACACGCUUUCCUGCGGCAGAGCUGUAAUGUUUAUUGUGGCUGACGGUGUCAGAUCAUCACAUGCCUGUCCGUGUACCAUGGGCUUGAGAAAAUGCUCCCUCCUGAGUCCUUACGGUCACAUUCGCUUAUGCUCACCUUGUCCCCUUCCCGGAAGCAAAGGCUGAGUCCCCGAUUGGCCCCGCCCACCCUUCAGUGAGAGAGUUAUUCUUAGAAACCAGCCUAGCCCUGGGAGGAUGAAGCACAUUUCAUACCACUCUGCUGCUGAGGUAGCUUCCCUUCUGCUUUCUCUGCAUUCGCCACCCUUAAAUCAACUUUCACAUUCCCCUCUGCCAGCCUCGACUCCCCCACUUCUCGCUAAGAGCCCCACUUCUCCAUUCUUCACUGAAGGGAGGGCAAGGGCCCAAACAGAGGUGGGGGCCACCCAGAGACCCCCACCGGACAUCACCAGGACAGGACAGGACAGAGGAACGUGGCCCUGAGCUUUCGGGGAGCAGUGUGCUGUGGGAACACGGAUUCACAAGGACGGAACGGAAGAUGAGGGGAGAUGUGUUUGCAACCAACCUCAUGCCUUUCUGUGUUCAUGGCAAUAAAUCUCACAGCCCUAUCGGGUUAAGUAAACCUUAGUUAUUGCGGGCUGAUCAGGCCCGUGAUCUCCCAAGCGAAUGGACGGCGAAGACUUAAAUAAAUGAGAUAAUGGAAAUGAUUUCAGGGCUCCA